RNAcentral lists this long non-coding RNA (1473 nucleotides) under Homo sapiens (human). RNAcentral's name for it is "PREDICTED lncRNA (TCONS_00234408)". The record is from RNAcentral. Lineage: Eukaryota; Metazoa; Chordata; Mammalia; Primates; Hominidae.
UGGACGCGGGGGGGUGUCCGAGCAGCAUCUCCGGCUUAAAGGGAAACUCUCUAAGUUCCGGGCAGCCGGGAGAGUCGUUCCUGAGAGCACAAGCACCCCCAAAUGUGAAGUGCACUCGGACACACACACACACACACACGCACGCACACACAAGCACUCAUGUUCUAAAGAGAGAGGUCUGAGUCCGAAGUUGCUGCUGCUGGGAGCUUGAGCUGAGAUGGACUGGUCUUCAUGGGCGCCCAAGGCGCUGGGUGCAGCUUUCCCCGAGACCCCCAGAUGGAAAGGAGGGAAGGAGGAACCCCACACACUCGCCUUUUGCGAGAAGAUCGGCGCGCACCCCAGAGUGCCCCAAGCCUUUGGAAUCUGCCUGCUGAGCGGAGCGCGCGAGCGUGGUGGACAGGUCCCGAACUUGGCCAGCGGGCUUUCUUGGCAACUUGCUUUGCGCAGUUCUCCAUGGAACCCUGGACCCACUGUGCUCCCGGCGCCUUGCCUUUUUUUUUCUUUUUCUUUCUCUCACUGUCUCUUUUUAAAUUUAUGAACUCGAAAUGAAGCGGAAAGCAGAUAUGCGCGUCAGCAUACUUUGGCGGGAUGCUGGCCCACCACUAGUAUUCUCUGGUGCUCGUUGUGCUUUGGGAGAUCUUCUAUGCAACAUGGAAACCAUGAAUUGUACCACAGAGGGAGAUCUUCUGUCCCACUAGGAAACUGCGAAUUGUACCACAGAGGGAGAUCUUCUAUGCAACAUGGAGACCAUGAAUGGUACACACAGAGAGAGAUCUUCUAUCCACAUGGACACCAUGAAUUGUACCACAGAGGCAGAUGUUCUAUCCAACAUGGAAACCAUGAACUGUACACACAGAGGGGGAUAUUCCAUCCAACAUAGGAACCAUGAACUGUACACACAGAGGGAGAUCUUCUAUCCAACAUGGAGACCAUGAAUUUUACCACAAAGGAAGAUGUUCUAUCCAAAAUGGAAACCAUGAGUUGUAUGCCUAGAGGGAGAUCUUCUAUCCAAUAUGUAAGCCACGAGUUGGACACACAGAGAGAGAUAUUUUAUCCAACUUGGAAACCAUGAAUUGUACACACAGAGAGAUCUUCUAUCCAACACGGAAACAACGAGUUAUACCCACAGGGGGAGAUCUUCUAUCCAAUUCAGGUGUUCCUUAUGUGAUAGCAUACUCUGCAUCUACAACUAGCUAAAGUUUCGUGAUGUCAUUAUUGUUAUUGUUGUUGUAGAGGUGAGGUCUUGCUAUGUUGCCCAGGCUGGUCUUGAAUCCCUGGCCUCCAGCAAUCCUCCUGCCUUUGUUUCCCAAUGUGUUGGGAUUACAGGCAAAAGCUGGUCUUAUUCUUUCUAAAGCUGAAGUUUGAGAAGUAAAAAUCACUUUCAAGGGUAGAAUGCAUUUUAUAUUUUCUCUGAAAAAUGAAUUGGCACAAAUGUCCAGUUAAAUUUGUGCAAUUUUCUUUAAAAAAAAAAAC